This 600-nucleotide ribosomal RNA is filed under the name uncultured bacterium. Its description in RNAcentral is "bacterial SSU rRNA". It matches the Rfam family "Bacterial small subunit ribosomal RNA", at positions 881 to 1482 of the family's 1533-position model. The record is from RNAcentral.
UACGGUCGCAAGAUUAAAACUCAAAGGAAUUGACGGGGACCCGCACAAGCGGUGGAUGAUGUGGAUUAAUUCGAUGCAACGCGAAAAACCUUACCUACCCUUGACAUGUCAGGAAUCCCGUAGAGAUAUGGGAGUGCCGCAAGGAACCUGAACACAGGUGCUGCAUGGCUGUCGUCAGCUCGUGUCGUGAGAUGUUGGGUUAAGUCCCGCAACGAGCGCAACCCUUGUCAUUAGUUGCCAUCAUUUAGUUGGGCACUCUAAUGAGACUGCCGGUGACAAACCGGAGGAAGGUGGGGAUGACGUCAAGUCCUCAUGGCCCUUAUGGGUAGGGCUUCACACGUCAUACAAUGGUCGGUACAGAGGGUUGCCAACCCGCGAGGGGGAGCCAAUCCCAGAAAGCCGAUCGUAGUCCGGAUCGUAGUCUGCAACUCGACUACGUGAAGUCGGAAUCGCUAGUAAUCGCGGAUCAGAAUGCCGCGGUGAAUACGUUCCCGGGUCUUGUACACACCGCCCGUCACACCAUGGGAGUGGGUUUCACCAGAAGUAGCUAGCCUAACCGUAAGGAGGGCGGUUACCACGGUGAGAUUCAUGACUGGGGUG